Molecule: ribosomal RNA, 492 nt
Filed under: Cuspidothrix issatschenkoi
Lineage: Bacteria; Bacillati; Cyanobacteriota; Cyanophyceae; Nostocales; Aphanizomenonaceae
Description: bacterial SSU rRNA
Rfam family: Bacterial small subunit ribosomal RNA
Source: RNAcentral
CCAGACUCCUACGGGAGGCAGCAGUGGGGAAUUUUCCGCAAUGGGCGAAAGCCUGACGGAGCAAUACCGCGUGAGGGAGGAAGGCUCUUGGGUUGUAAACCUCUUUUCUCAGGGAAGAAAAAAAUGACGGUACCUGAGGAAUAAGCAUCGGCUAACUCCGUGCCAGCAGCCGCGGUAAUACGGAGGAUGCAAGCGUUAUCCGGAAUGAUUGGGCGUAAAGGGUCCGCAGGUGGUAGUGUAAGUCUGCUGUUAAAGAGUCACGCUCAACGUGAUCAAAGCAGUGGAAACUACACAACUAGAGUACGGUAGGGGCAGAAGGAAUUCCUGGUGUAGCGGUGAAAUGCGUAGAUAUCAGGAAGAACACCGGUGGCGAAAGCGUUCUGCUAGACCUGUACUGACACUGAGGGACGAAAGCUAGGGGAGCGAAUGGGAUUAGAUACCCCAGUAGUCCUAGCCGUAAACGAUGGAUACUAGGUGUGGCUUGUAUCGACC